AUUGGAAUGGACCAGCACCUUACUCGCAUCUGGUGUUAAGUAGGCGCGCAAUGUUUUUGAGAUGGAAGCGACAGGAUUUGGUGACAGACUGAACAUGAGGCUUGAAAGAGAGGUCAAGUCAAAGAGAACACCUAGGCAGCGAGCCUGCGUGGUGGAGCUGAUGGUAGCACUGUUGACUUGGAGGGAGACAGACACAGGAGUAACAACACUUGAGGGAGGAAAGACCAGAAUUUCAGCUUUGGUUUAAGGAAAUAGGCAGCCAUCCAGUUAGAAAUAGC
This is a non-coding RNA of Pelobates cultripes (western spadefoot toad), 278 nucleotides long. The record is from the annotation of a GenBank genome assembly. NCBI's taxonomy places the organism in Eukaryota, Metazoa, Chordata, Amphibia, Anura, Pelobatidae.